Long non-coding RNA from Alligator mississippiensis (American alligator), 2240 nucleotides. RefSeq lists it as uncharacterized. NCBI's taxonomy places the organism in Eukaryota, Metazoa, Chordata, Crocodylia, Alligatoridae. The record is from RefSeq and is a predicted model, not a curated record. The transcript has 8 exons.
UAGUAGACAUGGACUCAGUGCAAAGCCCAGUGAAGUCCAUUGCAAUCAAAUGAAAAUCCCGACUGACUUCAGUGGACUCUGGAUCAGAACAGAGGCAGCAAGGAAGAUGAAAAAUUGCCAGAGAGCACCCAUUUGAUACAUGCAAUACCAUGGAUUUCAAAUGUUAGAAAUAAAAGAUGCUUCAAAAGAGAUUAGUCUCAUAUCUGGAUUCCUGGAUCAGGGCCACAGAGAACCAGGGAUAAGGGACUGCAGGGCCAGGGUCAAGAUGGAGAGGAGCUCAGGCUUCCCCUCCCCCCCAACUUGUUUUAGAAGCCAAGCCUGGACUGGAUUUCAAGGUGUACUUUCAGAUACCAGACAAGGUUCCAGCAGUCCCAAGUGAACAUCUUCCUGGAUGGCACUCCGUGAUACCCAACCAGGGAAAAUACCUGUAUCUGUGUUCCUGAUCACUUUCCUCCAGGUGCAUUCACCUGCACGUUUCACAGCUGAAUUCCAUUUUUGUUACAAUUUGAACAGAUAUUUUGUUACCAUCUCCAGUUUCUCAUAUCAUUGAACAACAGCAUUUUAAUCCCUUCUUAGCUCUUCCAAACUUCCCCAUCUUAUAAGGCCCAGGCAGUACCUGGAGUUUGUGAGAUAAGUUGCCAUACUGGAUCAAACCUGAGAUCUACUUAAUAUCUCAUACCCUUUGGAGAGGAAAGGAAUCAAGGUCCAAGGAGUUAAGCUGAGAAAAGAUGUCACAAGCUAAGAGAGAUACUGAGGAGUGUUCUGCUGUUAAUGGUUUUAACAAUGUUCUAUGAUGGAGAAGAAGCCACUGCCCCACAGUUAAGCUUGCAACCCUUUCAAAGGAGACUGGAGAAAUGCCUAGUGUUUCAUCUAGCAGGACUGGACAUAUCAUCCAUCAGAAUUCAUCAUCACUUUCCUUUUCUCAUCUAGAGGUAUCAGUAAUGAGGUAGGAGAAGGAUCCAAGUCCUCAGAAGUCAGGGCUGGCAGACUGAAAGGCUGAUUUCUGAAAAUACUGGCAGGUCUCUCUGAAGGAUUAGGAGGUAGUCAUAUAAGAGGGUAAGACACUUUUACUUGUGUUUUGUUCCAUCUUCAUGUUUAAGGUCAGCUAUGCUUGCAUUAUUCUUUUCUCUUGCAUAGUAUAUACUUCUGUUGUGUUGCCUCCUAAUGGAUUGCCUGUGGUGAAGGGUGAGCAAGUGAUAUUCCAGGCUAAGCCAUUCUAUGGAUAGUGUUACCUAAAAUUUCUUUCACAACACAAAAGGAAACCACCUGGAAUUGGAAGAGAUUCCCCUGCUACAGCUGUGAGGUCCAGUACAAUGGCAGGCAGUGGAGCUGAGACUUUCAGGGAUGAGGAGUUAUCCCAGGGUAAAUAUUGGUCUGUUUCUUGGGACAAGUAGUGGGACAGCGGGGGGAAGCUCUGGGGGUACCCUAUGACAUAGGCAACAGGCUAAUAUUUUUUUUCUCUUCAUGUUCUGUUAAUUCCUUUUAGACCGCUGUAAGGUAUAUGUUCAUUUAUGAGGCUUAUUUGUUCUUUCUUUAUGACUAGUAUUAUAUCAAGUUCCUAUCAAUAGUUCCUGCCAGGUUCUUUGCCACAGGUUACAGAUCAAUCUUUUUUCUUUCUAAAUAAUUUAAUUUCACAAGGCAGCUGUCCUCUAAAUCACACAAAGAGCAAAAAUGUGCUUUGCAGCUUUUCUUCAAGCUCCUCUUUAUAAUUGUGCCUGUGUGGGUGAUCAAAAAGAGUUUCCAUUGUGUGCGCAACAUCCCAAAAUGUUAACUGAUGUUUCCCAGUGAUCUAUCUUUAAGAUACCUAUUAAAAUUGGAAUCUGGUAUUUGAUACACACACAAUUUCAACCAAAAACUUCACAGGUAACAGCUUUGAAAACUAAGAAUGCUAAUGGCUGGGUGUAAGGAUAUUGGCUCUUUAAGAGGCUCGUACAAAUAUAACAACAUUGGUUGGACAGGAUUGGCUGACGGAAAUUGGUUAAGAGCAGGGCUUCAGGCAGUUGUAUGCUAGUUAGCUUCUCUACUGAACUCAUGAGUAACAUGCUGGAGACUCUUGAAUUAUUGUUCUGAACAACCCCUUCCAUUUUUAUUGAAGAGUGAUAUUUGUCCUUCCCUUGGGAAAAUCAAAUGUGAGGACGAGGAAGGAAAGAAGAGGCAAUCUUUAUGAUGUGGACUUCUUUGGUAUUAAGGAUGAAAUAAGAAGAGAUAAUGAAGCAUUCUCAAAGAAUCAUUGUGGGGAG